AGUAAUUCUCGUGCUAAUACAUGAAAUUUUAAUAAUCUCAAAUUAAAUCAGAUUAUUUUUAAUACCUUUUAAUAGGUAAUCCAAUCGAAUGAGUGACCUAUCAGGCCAGUACUUAGGGUCUUUACCUAAUUAAGCUAUCACGGGUAACGGGCGGUUACCGUCGUACUGCCGGAGAAGGCGCCUGAGAGAUAGCGACUAUAUCCACGGGUAGCAGCAGGCGCGAAACUUACCCACUCGAGACUAUCGGAGGUGGUAAUGACCAGUUAUAAUUAAGGAAUUUUCCUUAUUAUAUAGGAAUAUACUUUUCCAGUAUAUUGUAACCUAGCAGAGGGCCAGUCUGGUGCCAGCAGCUGCGGUAAUUCCAGCUCUGCAAGUUUGCUCCCAUAUUGUUGUAGUUAAAACGCUCGUAGUCUGAAUUAUUUUAAUUUAAAUUUUUUAAAUUAAAAUUUAGUUUUUAUUUUAUAAAAACGUUCACUGUGAACAAAUCAGAACGCUUAAAGUAAUUUUCUUUAUUGAAUGAUUUAGCGCAGUAUGAAAUUUUUACUUUUUAAAUUUUAAUUAAUUUAACAAGUAAUAUCAAAGAGAAUAAUCGGGGAUAGAUCUAUUUCAUGGCGAACAGCGAAAUGUUUUGACCCAUGAGAGAGAAACGAAGGCGAAAGCAUCUAUCAAGUGUAUUUCUAUCGAUCAAGGGCGAGAGUAGGAGUAUCCAACCGGAUCAGAGACCCGGGUAGUUCCUACCUUAAACUAUGCCGACAAGGUUUUGUUUUUUUUAAUAAAAGCAGUACCAUAGGAGAAAUCAUAGUUCAUGGGCUCUGGGGGAACUACGACCGCAAGGCUGAAACUUGAAGGAAUUGACGGAAGGGCACACCAGGGGUGGAGCUUGUGGCUUAAUUUGAAUCAACACGGGAAAACUUACCAGGACCAGAUAUUUUUAAUGACUGAUCAGGCUAUAGGUCUUUCAGGAUAUGAUUUUUGGUGGUGCAUGGCCGUUGGUGGUGCGUGGGUUGACCUGUCUAGCGUUGAUUCAGAUAACGAGCGAGAUUAUCACCAAUUAAAUAUAUAAAUAUUUUUAUUAAAAUAAUUUA
RNAcentral lists this ribosomal RNA (1085 nucleotides) under Dientamoeba fragilis. RNAcentral's name for it is "SSU rRNA". It matches the Rfam family "Eukaryotic small subunit ribosomal RNA", at positions 151 to 1384 of the family's 1831-position model. The record is from RNAcentral. Lineage: Eukaryota; Parabasalia; Tritrichomonadida; Dientamoebidae.